This 539-nucleotide long non-coding RNA is filed under the name Lupinus angustifolius (narrow-leaved blue lupine). RNAcentral describes it as "long non-coding RNA (LANG_LNC001318)". Lineage: Eukaryota; Viridiplantae; Streptophyta; Magnoliopsida; Fabales; Fabaceae. The record is from RNAcentral.
UUCAAAUUGAGAAGGGUACAAACAUAUCAGCGAUCAUAAGAACAAAGGCAAUUGUUGGAAAGGCAAUAUCCCAAUACAUAAAGACGAUGUGAACCAUACACAUUUUCACAUUGACUUUGACAAUUUGCAGGAAUGCAACCACCUGUAGAUAACCAUACUUCGACUCUAAAAGGAGCCCGAACUCUUUUUGGACCUGCUUCACUUGUGAUGAAAAUACCUGAAAUUUCAAAAACAAAGUUACUAUAGGCAACAAUUAUAAUUUUAGGCAUGCUAACUCUAAUCAAAUUUUAAUUUAAUAUGUGGCAAAAGUUUUCAUUUUAUAAAACAAUGUACUUUUAUUAUGUGAUAUAAAAACCGAAGUGUCCCAUCAAUUAUACAAGUAGCAUUGGUGAUUAAAUGAUGAUAAGUUUUGCCAAUAAUACAUAGAUAAAUAUCUAGAAUAAACCUGCAAGCAAAAGGAAAAGGGCAAAAAUAUGCAUUAUAGUAAGCUUAGCCAUCUCCAACAAACACAACACAACGUCAAUAAAAAUGGUUUAAUU